Molecule: transfer RNA, 60 nt
Filed under: Lacticaseibacillus paracasei
Lineage: Bacteria; Bacillati; Bacillota; Bacilli; Lactobacillales; Lactobacillaceae
Also listed under: 2 other names
Rfam family: tRNA
About the family: Transfer RNA (tRNA) molecules are approximately 80 nucleotides in length. Their secondary structure includes four short double-helical elements and three loops (D, anti-codon, and T loops).
Source: RNAcentral
GGUUUAGCUCAGUUGGUAGAGCACCUGACUGUUAAUCAGGUUGUCGUCAGUUCGAGCCUG